RNAcentral lists this ribosomal RNA (460 nucleotides) under uncultured bacterium. Its description in RNAcentral is "partial 16S ribosomal RNA". It matches the Rfam family "Bacterial small subunit ribosomal RNA", at positions 338 to 795 of the family's 1533-position model. The record is from RNAcentral.
CCUACGGGGUGCAGCAGUGAGGAAUAUUGGUCAAUGGCCGGAAGGCUGAACCAGCCAUGCCGCGUGAAGGUCAGUGCCCUAUGGGCGUUAAACUUCUUUUGUGCGGGAGCAAUAAUGGUCACGUGUGGCCAGACGAGAGUACCGUACGAAUAAGCAUCGGCUAACUCCGUGCCAGCAGCCGCGGUAAUACGGGGGAUGCAAGCGUUAUCCGGAUUUAUUGGGUUUAAAGGGUGCGUAGGCUGUGAGGUAAGUCAGCGGUGAAAUGCCCCCGCUCAACGGGGUGAAGUGCCAUUGAUACUGCCUGGCUGGAAUGCGGAUGCCGUGGGAGGAAUGUGUGGUGUAGCGGUGAAAUGCAUAGAUAUCACACAGAACACCGAUUGCGAAGGCAUCUCACGAAGCCGCGAUUGACGCUGAUGCACGAAAGCGUGGGUAUCAAACAGGAUUAGAUACCCGUGUAGUC